UUUCAGUAAAGAGCUCAAUUACAUGACCAACAACAAAUGGGUAAUCCUAUUCAUAUCAAGUGAACAAUAGAGUGCUUGUUAUUUAGAAGGUAUUGUGACCGAGCUCCAGGCUUUUGUAACCAGUGGUUUACUUAAGUCUCUCCUCUCUAUGUGUUAAUAUUAUACAUUAUAUAUACUAUGUAUACAUAUUAUGUAUUUAGUAUUCUACUCAGCUAUUCCAUUCAACCUCCAUUGAAGACUGUGUGACUUUAUUACAGAAAUAGAGUUCACAGUAAAGACGACUUGCAUACAAAAGUCCUAUAUUUUUAUUUUACAAUGCUAUUUUCUUUCAGCAAAAUUAAAAAGCUGGCGCUGCCAAGAUCGCCUGCGUUUUGGAACAGGAUGGAAACUAGCCUCCUUUUCAGAUCCCUGGCGUCCUGUUGAUUUGAUUAAGAACACAAGUACCCAGCAAGCAAGAAGCACCUUGAGAGCUGCCCGGGGGACAUUUCAGAGGAAAGCCCCAGGGAAAAGGAGAGGUCUGACAAGAGCAGCCCGCAGGCUACAUCGUGCUGAUGCCGCUCCCUUUUACAGGUGAACUUUCACAGAAAAGCAGUUUUAAGUUCACAGAAGGGGUUCGGAUGACCUUCAGAAGCUGGGCGUCCAGCGUUUCCACUUUGGCCUCGCGUUUUAACAUAGUGUGGCGAGAGCCGACCUCCCCCGACAGACCUGCACUCGGAGGCACAGCGGCUCGCUCCAGCCGCCGGGUCGCGUCCGGGUGCGGAGCUCAGAGCGCCCGGGUCGCGGGCAUCGGGGCGGGUGUGUUGCCGGAGUAGCCUCGGAUUGGCUGCCCUAGGGCCGCCCUACCCGGGCACCGGAUUGGGCGGAGCUGGGCCCUGCUGGCCGAGCUCAUUGGAGGGAGCGGCAGGGGCGGGGCGGGGCGGGGCGGGCUGGGUGCCGACCGGGCGCGCGGGCGGCGGAGCGGGCGCCGGGCCGACCCGGCCUGCGGGCGGCGCGAGGUCCUGAAGCCGAGGCGCGCCGGUUGGGGCUACCGUGUCCCGGGCAGUCUCUGCGUCCGCAGAACGGCCACUCCGAGACAGCUUCCGCCAGCGCCGUCCUCUGCAUCCUGCGCCGGCCGCUCCGCCGGCGGGGCCGCGCACGGGCGCCGCGGGCCGGCCAGCUGUCGGGGGCGGCGGGCGGCGCGGGACACAAAGAGCGCGCGAGGGCGGCAGACGCGGGACGGCGCCUUCGGCCGCGCCCGCCGGCCGCUCCAAGGCCGCGGAGACCAUACGGCCCCGGCCCGCUCGCGCACCUCCCGGCCGGAGGGCCGUCGGCCGCCGAGCGGGCACCGGGAGCCGGGAAAAGUUGGCGGCGCGUCCGCCGCGGGGAGGCCCGGGGCCGCGGGGGAGAAAAGACACUUUUUACAGAGCUGGGAGCUCAUAAACGUCUCAAAAGAAAGAUGCUGGAUAAUUGGAAAUAAGAAUUUGAGUUUCCUGGUUUUCUGUGUGUGUACAACCCAUAGGAAAUUCUUCCCAGUAAAUUCCUGUAGCCUUCAGACAUUUUCAAGAGGCAAAGGACCAGGUAGGUCUGUAUUUCUAUUAAUUACAAAAAGAAAACGUUUCAUUGUCUUUGUUCCUAGGAAGAAAUAUAAUGAGAAUUAGAAGCCUUUGAAUUAGGCUAGAAACACUGUGGACUACUAAGUGUAAAGUAGAAGAAGGUGAAGCUGAAUUUUAAAGGUCAGAAUUCUGUUUGUACCUUUAUUUUACUUCCAUUUCAGCUCUAUGUGGGCUUUCUACCAAAGGAAGCAGAGACCGCUUGUGUUCCUUGUCUUUAGAUGGAUUUUCUGAAGGAAGGGAUAGGGGCCAAUGCCAGUACUAUCAAGGCAAUUGUCUGGGACCUUGGUCCCCAGAGAGAUAGGAUAAAAGGAUGUAGAGCAGGGGCUAGACACCAAGCCCUGUGCUGACAUGGACUGCGAGUGCUAUAACAUACACCCAGAGGCAGAGUGGAGAGAGAGAAAGGUGGAGCCAGGGGGAGAAGCAUAUUCUCUCCUGGUGUCGGUGACCCACAAGAACCUUGGCCUUUCCAUGGCCAGAGGAGGGUCCUGGUAUGAAUAAAUAAAUCAACAAAUAAAGCUGUGGUAAUUUC
This 2121-nucleotide long non-coding RNA is filed under the name Sus scrofa (pig). RNAcentral's name for it is "lncRNA (ENSSSCG00050046748.1)". The record is from RNAcentral. Lineage: Eukaryota; Metazoa; Chordata; Mammalia; Artiodactyla; Suidae.